UAAUAGUUUAUUAAAUAUUGAAUUUGAAGUUUAUAUAUAUAUAUAUAUAUAUAUAUAUAUAUAUAUAUAUAUAUAUAUAUAUAUAUAUAUUAAAAAAAAUUAUUUAAUAUAUUAUUUUAUUUAAGUAAUUAUUUAUGAAUAAAUUUAUUUUUUUAUAUAAAAUAGUAUUGUGAAAGAAAUUUAUAAAAUUUUAAGAAAGUAAAAUUUAUUUUUGUACCUUUUGUAUUAGGGUUAAUUAAAAUUAAUAUAUAAUUUAAUAUAUAUCUCGAAUAUAAAUGAGCUAAUUAAAUAAAAUUUUUUUUGUGGCAUAAAGAUUAUGAAUAUUUAGUUUGAUGUGAAAUGUAAUUCGAAUUUUUAGAUAUCUAGUUUUUUUAGAAUUGAAUUUAAUUCAUAUAUUUAGUAUAUAUAUAUAUAUAUAUAUAUAUAUAUAUAUAUAUAUAUAUAAUAUAAAUAAUUUAAGGGAUAACCUUUAAGUUAAUUAUUAUAAUUUUAUUAUUUUAUAUUUUUAUAUAAUUGAUUAUAAAAUUUAAUAUAUUAUUGAAAAAAUUUAAUUAUUUAUAUAUAUAUAUAUAUAUAUAUAUAUAUAUAUAUAUAUAUAUAUUAAAAAUUUAAUAAUUAUAAUAUAAUAUAUUAUAAAAAAUUAUAAUUAAAUUUUUUUAUUUUAAGUAUAAUGAUUAUAUUAGUAAUUAUAAAUUAUAAUUUAUAAUAUUAUAUUUAUAUAUAUAAUAUUUAUUAAUUAAUAUUAAAUAAUUCGGCAAAAUUAUAUUCACCUGUUUAACAAAAACAUGUCUUUUUGAUUUAUUAUUUAAAGUCUUCCCUGCUCCAUGAAAUUUUAAAUAGCUGCAGUAUAUUGACUGUACAAAGGUAGCAUAAUCAUUUGUCUUUUAAUUAAAGGCUAGAAUGAAGGGGGUGAUGAAAUAUAAACUGUUUCGGUAUUAAAAAAUUAAUUUAAAAAUUAAGUAAAAAUGCUUAAAUUUUUUUAGGGGACGAUAAGACCCUAUAGAAUUUUAUAAUUUAUUUAAAGUUAAUAAUUUUAUAAUUAUAUAUAUAUAUAUAUAUAUAUAUAUAUAUAUAUAUAUAUAUAUUAAUAAUUUAUUUAAAUUAUUUUAUUGGGGUGAUAUUUAAAUUUAAUAAACUUUAAUUUUUAUAAUCAUAAAUUAAUGUUAAUUAAAUGAAAUUUUAUUAAAAAUUAUUAGAAAAAUUACCUUAGGGAUAACAGCAUAAUAUCUUUAAGAAGAUCUUAUUUAUAAAGGUGUUUAUGACCUCGAUGUUGAAUUAAGAUAAAUUUUAAAUGCAGAAGUUUAAAAAUUAAGUCUGUUCGACUUAUAGAAUCUUACAUGAUUUGAGUUCAGAUCGGUGUAAGCCAGAUCGGUUUCUAUCUUUAAAUUAAUUUAUAUAUUUUUGUACGAAAGGACUAAUUAUAUUUAAAAUUUAAUUUAUAUAUAUAUAUAUAUAUAUAUAUAUAUAUAUAUAUAUAUAUAUAUAUAUAUAUUAAUUUAAUAAAU
Molecule: ribosomal RNA, 1505 nt
Filed under: Lasioglossum sp. SJW-2017
Lineage: Eukaryota; Metazoa; Arthropoda; Insecta; Hymenoptera; Halictidae
Description: 16S ribosomal RNA
Source: RNAcentral